Molecule: long non-coding RNA, 1188 nt
Filed under: Ananas comosus (pineapple)
Lineage: Eukaryota; Viridiplantae; Streptophyta; Magnoliopsida; Poales; Bromeliaceae
Description: long non-coding RNA (ACOM_LNC013655)
Source: RNAcentral
ACCGAAUUCAUGGGAUCACGGCCCACAUUUUCACCCACGUUUGAAAAUUUAAUUUCGAAUAUCAUAUUCAAAUUCGAUUUUAAAUUUUUAAACCCCCAACCAACUAGAAAAUAUAUGUUAUUCUAACAAUCCUAUUCGAAAUUCGAUUUCGAAUUUCGAACAAACUCCCAAAAUAUCUCCCAACCAACAUCCAUUCGAAUUUUGAAUACCUAACCACAACAACCGAUUCAAAAUUCGAUUUCGAAUUUUGAAUUCUCAACCAACCUCCAAAAUAUCUUCCAACCAACCACAACAACCCAUUCAAAAUUCGAUUUCGAAUUUCGAAUUCCCAACCAACCCCAAAAUAUCCUCCAACUAUCCAACAACCGAUUCAAAAUUCGAUUUUGAAUUUCGAAUCCCCAAUCAAUUCCCAAAAUAUCCUCCAACCAUCCAACAACCGAUUCAAAAUUCGAUUUUGAAUUUCGAAUCCCCAACCAAUUCCUAAAAUAUCCUCCAACCAUCCAACAACUGAUUCAAAAUUCGAUUUCGAAUUUUGAAUUCUCAACCAAGCCCCAAAAUAUCUUCCAACCAACCACAACAACCCAUUCAAAAUUCGAUUUCGAAUUUCGAAUUCCCAACCAACCCCAAAAUAUCCUCCAACUAUCCAACAACCGAUUCAAAAUUCGAUUUUGAAUUUCGAAUCCCCAAUCAAUUCCCAAAAUAUCCUCCAACCAUCCAACAACCGAUUCAAAAUUCGAUUUUGAAUUUCGAAUCCCCAACCAAUUCCUAAAAUAUCCUCCAACCAUCCAACAACUGAUUCAAAAUUCGAUUUCGAAUUUUGAAUUCUCAACCAAGCCCCAAAAUAUCUUCCAACCAACCACAACAACCCAUUCAAAAUUCGAUUCCGAAUUUCGAAUUCCCAACCAAUCCCGAAAUAUCUUUCAACCAACCACAACAAUCUAUUCAAAAUUCAAAUUCGAAUUUCGAAUCCCUAACUGACUCCUCAAAAUAUCUCUCGCCACCUCUCCCAUUAUAAAUAGGAGAAUCGAAAUCAAACGUCGGACGAUAGACGAAGAAGAGAAAAAAAUAAAUAGAUUGCUAUACACGUUCCGACAUACAAAAAAAAUUCAAAGAGGAAAGAUCGCCGAGCUGCGGAAAGAAGGAGAGAUCGCCGAGCCGUGGAAAGAAUGAGAGAUCGCCGAGCCGCGA